This 271-nucleotide non-coding RNA is filed under the name Candidatus Nitrotoga arctica. Lineage: Bacteria; Pseudomonadati; Pseudomonadota; Betaproteobacteria; Nitrosomonadales; Gallionellaceae. The record is from RNAcentral.
AUACUUCGCGCCGCUUAAGGUGCCAGACACAAGAAUGCGUCUGGUUAAACGGGAAACAGGUGAGGGAAUUUAAUUUCUUAGGCCUGUGCUGCCCCCGCAACGGUAAGCAGGUGUGGACGUGUUAAUAACCUGGAUGUUUCAUAAAUUCGCGAAAUGAAUGUAAGACGCGUAAAUUAUGGAAAACCUGAGUUAAGCCACUGUGAGCAAUCAUGGGAAGGCGAUACGUCUAGUCCUGCAAGCCCGGAUACCGGCCUUGAGCACAGGAAUCUCA